This 497-nucleotide ribosomal RNA is filed under the name uncultured bacterium. RNAcentral describes it as "partial 16S ribosomal RNA". It matches the Rfam family "Bacterial small subunit ribosomal RNA", at positions 28 to 507 of the family's 1533-position model. The record is from RNAcentral.
GACGAACGCUGGCGGCGUGCCUAAUACAUGCAAGUAGAACGCUGAAGCUUGGUGCUUGCACCGAGCGGAUGAGUUGCGAACGGGUGAGUAACGCGUAGGUAACCUGCCUGGUAGCGGGGGAUAACUAUUGGAAACGAUAGCUAAUACCGCAUAAGAGUAGAUGUUGCAUGACAUUUGCUUAAAAGGUGCAAUUGCAUCACUACCAGAUGGACCUGCGUUGUAUUAGCUAGUUGGUGAGGUAACGGCUCACCAAGGCAACGAUACAUAGCCGACCUGAGAGGGUGAUCGGCCACACUGGGACUGAGACACGGCCCAGACUCCUACGGGAGGCAGCAGUAGGGAAUCUUCGGCAAUGGACGGAAGUCUGACCGAGCAACGCCGCGUGAGUGAAGAAGGUUUUCGGAUCGUAAAGCUCUGUUGUAAGAGAAGAACGAGUGUGAGAGUGGAAAGUUCACACUGUGACGGUAUCUUACCAGAAAGAGACGGCUAACUACGUG